Molecule: ribosomal RNA, 467 nt
Filed under: uncultured bacterium
Lineage: Bacteria
Description: partial 16S ribosomal RNA
Rfam family: Bacterial small subunit ribosomal RNA
Source: RNAcentral
GACGAACGCUGGCGGCGUGCUUAACACAUGCAAGUCGAACGGAAAGGCCCUGCUUUUGUGGGGUGCUCGAGUGGCGAACGGGUGAGUAACACGUGAGUAACCUGCCCUUGACUUUGGGAUAACUUCAGGAAACUGGGGCUAAUACCGGAUAGGAGCUCCUGCUGCAUGGUGGGGGUUGGAAAGUUUCGGCGGUUGGGGAUGGACUCGCGGCUUAUCAGCUUGUUGGUGGGGUAGUGGCUUACCAAGGCUUUGACGGGUAGCCGGCCUGAGAGGGUGACCGGCCACAUUGGGACUGAGAUACGGCCCAGACUCAUACGGGAGGCAGCAGUGGGGAAUAUUGCACAAUGGGCGGAAGCCUGAAGCAGCAACGCCGCGUGCGGGAUGACGGCCUUCGGGUUGUAAACCGCUUUCGCCUGUGACGAAGCGUGAGUGACGGUAAUGGGUAAAGAAGCACCGGCUAACUACGU